AGCGAACGCUGGCGGCAGGCCUAACACAUGCCAGUCGAACGAACCUUUCGGGGUUAGUGGCGGACGGGUGAGUAACACGUGGGAACGUGCCUUUAGGUUCGGAAUAACACAGGGAAACUUGUGCUAAUACCGAAUGUGCCCUUCGGGGGAAAGAUUAAUCGCCUUUAGAGCGGCCCGCGUCUGAUUAGCUAGUUGGUUGAGGUAAUGGCUCACCAAGGCGACGAUCAGUAGCUGGUCUGAGAGGAUGAUCAGCCACAUUGGGACUGAGACACGGCCCAAACUCCUACGGGAGGCAGCAGUGGGGAAUCUUGCGCAAUGGGCGAAAGCCUGACGCAGCCAUGCCGCGUGAAUGAUGAAGGUCUUAGGAUUGUAAAAUUCUUUCACCGGGGACGAUAAUGACGGUACCCGGAGAAGAAGCCCCGGCUAACUUCGUG
Molecule: ribosomal RNA, 434 nt
Filed under: uncultured bacterium
Lineage: Bacteria
Description: partial 16S ribosomal RNA
Rfam family: Bacterial small subunit ribosomal RNA
Source: RNAcentral